GACUUUUUCACCUUGUGUAGACGAAAUCAAAGACUGCCAUUUAUAUUUUAAAUACAUAUUUCUUAGAAUACAAAAUUUCUCUUGAAUGAACUUGGAUGUACAAAUAUUGGUUAAUUGGGAAUAGUUAGUCGCAAAGCAAAAUUACAAAAACUGAUACAUAUAUCGAAACGAGCAAAUGAGAGCACUCGAAAUUAGCAAUGUUUGCUGAAAAAAAUCCAACAUAUAUUUUUUAAAGCAAUCUGUUGUUGGUUGUUGAUGGUUUGAAUUGCUAGAUGAAUUGUAGUACGUACACAACUGCUACGGCAAAGAAAACAAAUAAAUGUUUUAAUUAUUACAGAAUUAUUGAAUCUAACGAAGAGAGUAAGAAAUAGAAGAAAUCAAUUAAUAUUGAAUGUAUAAUUAGUAUAUCAAUAAAUCAUUAAUUAAUAAA
Long non-coding RNA from Ceratitis capitata (Mediterranean fruit fly), 430 nucleotides. RefSeq lists it as uncharacterized. The record is from RefSeq and is a predicted model, not a curated record. The transcript has 2 exons. Lineage: Eukaryota; Metazoa; Arthropoda; Insecta; Diptera; Tephritidae.